This 789-nucleotide non-coding RNA is filed under the name Scolytinae sp. BMNH 1274713. The record is from RNAcentral. Lineage: Eukaryota; Metazoa; Arthropoda; Insecta; Coleoptera; Curculionidae.
AUUAUUAAAAGUUUUUUUGCUUUGGGGUUUCAGAAAAACUUGAGUUAAAUGCAAGUUUCGGCGUAAAUAAUAAGAUAAUUUAGAUAAUUAACUGGGGGGUUAAUUUGGCAGUUAUUGAUAUUAAAUAUUCGGGGGGCCGAGAUUUGGUUGGGAUUUUAGUAUAAACAAAUUUUGUGCCAGCAGUUGCGGUUAUACAAAAUAUGCAAUGAAAGCUUAUCGGGGAAUAGUUGAUUUGUAUUUAAAUUUAAAUUGGAAAAAAUUUUAUUAGGUGAAAUUUUAAGAUUUUAUGAAUUUAAUUGUAUAAAGGUAAUGAGGCUAAAAAAUUUUAUUAAAAACUAGGAUUAGAUACCCUAUUAUAAAAAUUAAAAAAGCAAACCUAAAUUAUUAGUAGCUAAGUUCUUGAAAAUUAAUAAAGAUGGCGGUAUUUUAGUCUGUUCAGAGGAAUCUGCCCUGUAAUUGAUAUUCCACGAUUUAAGUUACUUAAAUUUUUAGCUUACAUAUCGCUGUGGAUUGAAUAUUUCUAUAGGAUUUUAAUGUUCAGAAUUUUGUGAGAAAGAAUAUCAAGUCAAGAUGUAGCUUAUAAUUAAGUAGAGGUGGAUUACAUUAUUUUUACAUUUAGUUAAUGAUUUGAAAAGGUUAUUAUAAAAUGGAUUUGAAUGUAAUUUUUUAUAAAGAUUUAAAAUAUGACUAAAGCUCUAAAAUAUGUACAUAUCGCCCGUCGCUUUCACUAUAAAGUGAAAUAAGUCGUAACAUAGUAGAUGUACUGGAAAGUGUCUCUAGAAGACAAAU